AGAUGAAGGAAUUUGGGUUCAUAUGUAAAUAUGAUAUGAACACAAAUUCCUUCAUCUC
Molecule: microRNA precursor, 58 nt
Filed under: Parasteatoda tepidariorum (common house spider)
Lineage: Eukaryota; Metazoa; Arthropoda; Arachnida; Araneae; Theridiidae
Description: microRNA pte-mir-11965 precursor (pte-mir-11965-3)
Source: miRBase by way of RNAcentral